UGGUUUUUAAAGACAUCACAGGCAACAACAAAGAGCGGAACAGCUUCACAUGAUGGGCCUUCAGCAGCAGGAACAAUCAUCCUCCAAGCUGCUGCAGGCCGAUCAUUGUCAGUGUGAGCUGAAUUGAAGAGAUAAUGAGCUACAGCCAAGGCUCUUCUGUGGACUCUGCAGUGGUCGAUGUCCCGCCUCGUAAGUCUGCAGAAGAUGCUGCAGAAUCAGCAAAGACCCCACCGCAGGGUUUUCACACUCGUGCCCUCUGGCAGGAGAUUGGCAACGGUCACAAUUUUCAGGAGUUUUCCAGAGGCGGUAGUCAAACCGGACGCCCCUGAUUUGCAUAAAGUUGCCUGGGUUGAACAUUAUGCAAAUGAGGA
Molecule: long non-coding RNA, 371 nt
Organism: Sander lucioperca (pikeperch)
Lineage: Eukaryota; Metazoa; Chordata; Actinopteri; Perciformes; Percidae
Exons: 3
Source: RefSeq, a predicted model, not a curated record